RNAcentral lists this ribosomal RNA (497 nucleotides) under uncultured bacterium. RNAcentral's name for it is "partial 16S ribosomal RNA". It matches the Rfam family "Bacterial small subunit ribosomal RNA", at positions 28 to 507 of the family's 1533-position model. The record is from RNAcentral.
GAUGAACGCUGGCGGCGUGCCUAAUACAUGCAAGUCGAGCGAACGGACGAGAAGCUUGCUUCUCUGAUGUUAGCGGCGGACGGGUGAGUAACACGUGGAUAACCUACCUAUAAGACUGGGAUAACUUCGGGAAACCGUAGCUAAUACCGGAUAAUAUUUUGAACCGCAUGGUUCAAAAGUGAAAGACGGUCUUGCUGUCACUUAUAGAUGGAUCCGCUCUGCAUUAGCUAGUUGGUAAGGUAACGGCUUACCAAGGCAACGAUGCAUAGCCGACCUGAGAGGGUGAUCGGCCACACUGGAACUGCGACACGGUCCAGACUCCUACGGUAGGCAGCAGUAGGGAAUCUUCCGCAAUGGGCGAAAGCCUGACGGAGCAACGCCGCGUGAGUGAUGAAGGUCUUCGGAUCGUAAAACUCUGUUAUUAGGGAAGAACAUAUGUGUAAGUAACUGUGCACAUCUUGACGGUACCUAAUCAGAAAGCCACGGCUAACUACGUG